Molecule: long non-coding RNA, 161 nt
Organism: Scomber japonicus (chub mackerel)
Lineage: Eukaryota; Metazoa; Chordata; Actinopteri; Scombriformes; Scombridae
Exons: 3
Source: RefSeq, a predicted model, not a curated record
AAGGAAUCAGAAAGGAAAGUAGGGAGGGAGAAAGGAAGGACGGACAGAUGGAAGGUAGGAAAGAAGGACGGACAGAUGGAAGGUAGGAAGGAAGGACAGAUGGAAUGUAGGAAGGAAGGAAGGUAGGAAGGAAGGACGGACAGAUGGAAGGUAGGAAGGAA